CACAUGCCUAUGUGCAUGUUCCACCAAAGCAAGUUCCUUCCUUAGACUAUUUUGUAGAGGCACGGUUGCUCCGUCCGGCACUAAGCACCACCCAAGACGAUUGUGAUUGGUUAAAAGAAAUGGCUUA
This is a long non-coding RNA of Etheostoma spectabile (orangethroat darter), 127 nucleotides long. RefSeq lists it as uncharacterized. The transcript has 3 exons. The record is from RefSeq and is a predicted model, not a curated record. NCBI's taxonomy places the organism in Eukaryota, Metazoa, Chordata, Actinopteri, Perciformes, Percidae.